Molecule: ribosomal RNA, 253 nt
Filed under: uncultured prokaryote
Description: partial 16S ribosomal RNA
Rfam family: Bacterial small subunit ribosomal RNA
Source: RNAcentral
ACAGAGGGGGCAAGCGUUGUUCGGAAUUACUGGGCGUAAAGGGCGCGUAGGCGGCCUGCUAAGUCGAUCGUGAAAUCCCCGGGCUCAACCCGGGAACUGCGACCGAUACUGGUUGGCUUGAAUCCGGGAGAGGGAUGCGGAAUUCCAGGUGUAGCGGUGAAAUGCGUAGAUAUCGUCAGGAACGCCGAUGGUGAAGACAGGUGACUGGGCUAGUUCUGACACUGAGGCACGAAAGCGUGGGGAUCAAACGGGA